Long non-coding RNA from Gossypium arboreum, 525 nucleotides. RefSeq lists it as uncharacterized. NCBI's taxonomy places the organism in Eukaryota, Viridiplantae, Streptophyta, Magnoliopsida, Malvales, Malvaceae. The record is from RefSeq and is a predicted model, not a curated record. The transcript has 2 exons.
CUAGAAUUCUCUUCAUUUCUCUUCAUAUUCAUCAGCUGAAAAACAGCCAUGGAGGAGGGUUCAAGCUGGUUUUCAUACUCUAGCUUCAUAUUUUUCGGAUGGUUAGGCAAUCGAAUCAAUACUCAAGUCACACUAUACAACUUAUCUCGGUACGUAGUUUUUGAAACGUUAAAUAUGGUUUAUAUGACGUGUAUAGGCUUUUGUACGGUCUUGAUCAAAGUUUAAUUUAUGUAAAUAUUAUAAAUAAUAUUUUAUUUAUAUAAUUAACCUACAUAUUGGUAAGAGAUUAAGGUAUAAUUGUGAUGUUAGUAUAAGUGAGAUAUGUAUGUAUGUAUUUGAUUAUAGUGAACUUUGGCAACUUGGUUAGGUAAAUUAAUUAGGUAAGUUUGAAUAUUUGGUGGACAUAAUUUUAAGUUGUCAUUUGAGGUACCUAUGGGUAUAUUAGUUGUAUGUGGUAAUAAUACAUGUUUAAGACUUGAUUUUAACUUAUGUUGAAUGCCUUGUUAUGGCUUGUUGAUGUAUAAA